AAUUAUUAAGCAUGAGUGGAGACUAUUUAGGCAUCAUUAAGGAUACUAAGCUAAGCCAUUAUCUGAUAAGGGAAAGCUAAACCAAGAAUAACUUCCCUGCUUAUCUUCAUUCCAUGUCCAUCCAUUCCAAACCAUUUCCUCCUAACCUCUCCUACUCACAUGCUACCAACAUCAAAGUUCUACCAACUUUUACUAAAAAUCCAUCUCUGUGUACUCUCUUAAGCCGAUUGAAGGAAAAUUGAGGGGGUGACUAAUGAAGAAGCCUUGAAGCAAAGUGUUUGGGUUUAUUAAAUUUCAAAUCGACUCGUCUCACAGAGUCACAGGUAUGCAUUUUGUUAAUUUUAAAUCCUCUGUCACGUUUUCUCUCUCCAUACUCUAUCACCGUCGGCUGAAGCAAAAAAAAUUGGGGGUGAUUGCGGGAUAAAUUUUGAAGCAAACUAGUUUGGGUUCAAUUAAUUUCAAGUUGAAUCCUCUAACGUGUAUAUCUUUGUUAAUUAAAGUGUUAAUUAGCAUAUCAAAGUUAUACAGUUAAAACACCAUUCCUUACUUAUUCUUGUGGACAAAGGCAAAACUAUACAGUUAAAUAACUCUUUUGAAAGUCUUGUUUUGGAGGAAGGGGAUUCUCAUAACUCAAUGGUCAGGGCACUUUCGUUAGAAAAUUUAACCAAAUCUGUAAAAAAAAAAAUACUAAAAAGGGAACUAAAAGGAUUGGCUACUGUAGAAACUGGGAUUGUUGCUGAUAGUGGGGGUAAUAAUUAUUUACCUCAUUCUCAAUAAUUAAACUGUGUGCUUGGAUUGUUAUGGGUUUUAAUAAAUCCCGUAAAUAUAGAGAUGUUAUUGAUUUUAUAGCUGUAAAUAGAGUUUCUUUAUUAUGUUCGGUAGAAACAAAAAUCUCUCAAGUAAAAGUUAAAAAAAAUUAAAUUAAGUAUUAAGAAAUUUGGUGUGGGUUGGGAUCAUAAUGCUCCUGUAAAUGAAAGGGCCUGAAUUAUUGUUUGUUGGGAUGGAAAUGAAUUUGAUGUAUCCCUUAUUAUGUUGAAUACUCAAGUUAUUUUCUGCAAAGUGACUGUGAAGGGAUUAUCUAAAUCCUAGUACAUGUCUUUCGUCUAUGGUUUAAAUCCCAGUUCUACUUCAACUAUUAAAAAAUCUCAAGUUUCAAAACAACUCAAUUGAAAUGCUAGAAAAAAAAUAGUAUCAUUAAUACGUUUAUGAUCCUUUAAUAUUUAUAAAAAUUUAUAAACUUCAAAUGUUGAAAAAACUGUACCAUUUGAUUUUAGUAAGAGUUCUUUCAAAUAUAUCAUUGUUAUUCAGUGGAAUAUAUAAUUUUUUGCAUGGUUAAUAAGGAAUUUAUUGCAAGGGCAGGAUAUGCUUCUUAUUACCACUCUAAGCUUUGGUGGGUUAAGGAAUCUUCUUUUGAAUAUCCUAGUAGAGAUUUAUGAGGGAGUCACACAAGCAGGAGGUGUAGCUCUUUCUGACAAGGGCUCUUGGGCUAGAUGAGUGGCAUAUCGCUGGUUUUCAUGUUGACUUAUUACUGGUCAUCAUUUUGAUUUAUAUUUCAUUUGAUUGAUUGUCUUUGUAAAUAUUUUUACUUGUUUCUUCAACAUGAAUUGAUCACCGUAAAUUCCCAAAUUAUAUUUACUUGUUUAUAUUUCAUUUCAUUUACUGGUUUUCUGAAAUUAGCCCAAUGUGGCCGGGUGAGUUUCUCCUAUUCAUUACACCUUCCUUCAUUUAUCUACGUACAUAUUUUUAUUAUAUAUACUAGGAUUGUCUUCCAUCUGGAUUCUUUUUUGCUAAUUUUUUCAAAUCAUGGGUUGCUGUUUGUAAAUGAUGAUUUUUUAUAAUAUAAAAAGUGUGUUUAUGUAUGCCCAGAUGAACUUUUGCUGGAGUUUUCUUUUUUAUAAUAUAGAAAGUAUGUCUCUGUCUGUAAAUUUUUGUCUCUAUUUUUUGGGUUAUUCAGUCAAGUUGAAAUAACAGGUUCUCUCGUUGUUGUUGUAAUAUGCCCUGCAUAUUAUUUUCUUUGAAUUUGGUACACCACCAAGUUCUGUUUGGCUUACGAAAUCAUAGAAAUGUGUUUUUAUUAGUUUGUUUAUAAAUUCCAAGUUUACACAUGCAAGAAAAUUUAGUUGAAGAGUAAUUAAUCAGAAGCUUAAACUUUGAGUCAGUAGAAUAUGCUACCUAAUGAAAUAAUUAAUCAAUCAGCGUGGUUUGCAUAACUAAAAAUUGUACCUAGUCCAUUUUGAUCCGUUGAAAUAUGUUUUUUCCAGAAACAAUACAAAUCAGAAUAUCUGAGCUCAGAAUUUGGUUACAUAGUAUUCUAGAAUCUUUGUUUCUUGCUUAGCUAAAAAUAAGAAUUAUUGAUUAUGUGAAGCUGAAAGAAGGGAAAUUAGCUCUAUGUCUCCAUUGGUAUUUUGUCUUGUACACUUGUAUUAUAUUUGUAAGCCCAUACUUUCUGUUCUAAUGGUCUUGUAUCAUAUUCAUACCACAAUGCAUUUAAUAUCAUUCUCGUUUUUAUUUUGUGUUUGUCUUGUUUAUUGAAGUUUCUGUUGUACUCUGGGGGUUCUUGAUUUUGCAUCGUGAUAUCUUUUGUAUUUAGCACAAACAAAAGUAUGAUUUCAACAGUAUAAAUGAAAUAAAUAGAAAACUUUUGUUUAAGUUAUUUGUUUGAACAACCAAUUGUCCUUGUUACGUUUUUGUCCUUGAUUAAAGUUCUACAUGACGGGUAGCUGUUAAAAGGUAGUAUUUCACACUUCAGUAAUUUAGUUUGGUUUUAGUGGGUGCAUUAAGUCCUGCUUAAAGACAAGGAACUAUAUAGCCAUAGUUGACUUGCCCUCUUUUCAAAAUAUGUGCCAAUGGAUUAGGCCAUUAAGGUCACUUAAGGGAGGGUGUACAUAGUUUAAUUUUAUUUGGGUUUGUGACGGUGGAACUUUUUUGCCUCUCAAGGGGAAUGCAACUUCAUUUUUCACUUCUGUUAUCAAUGGUUAAGCAUAAUGGUUCUUAGUUCUUACUUUGAUAAAUAUUGAUACGUGGGUCAGCUGAUAAUCUUCUGAAAGUAUUCAUAGAAAAGAAUUCAUAUGGAUGAAUAAGUAUGUCAAGUUCCCCCCUCUUUUUCUUUCCCAUCCUCCUUCAAAUCUGUUAAUUUGGUGAAUAGGUUGUUCAUUCUCCCCCUCUGCAUCACAUGACAGUCCUUGCAUUGAAUACCAGAGGAGGGGCUGGUUUUGCUGCUUUUUUGUUGUUGGCCUUGUUGCUUAUGCUCGUUACUUUUUAGCUCAUGUUGGGUUGGUGUCGGGUUAAUUUUGUGUGGCUGCUUCCCUGCUGGCUUUUUGCUGGUGCCUGGGUUUUGGGUUGGCACGUAUCUUGGGCUGGAGCAUUAAUAAGUGUAAUGUUUUUGAAAUUUGCAUUGUAAAAGAAAAGAUAACUUCCAUGAUAACGAAAACUGAAAAGAUUCAAUUACCUUAGGAACUCCUUACACAUUUUGUAGACACUAAUAUACAAUAUAACUGUGUAUAUAAAAACAAGUCACACUCUAAAUAUUGAAAGUGAUUGGGAUGGCUUGUGGUGCAAAUUAUGAAAAACUUGCUGCUACUUGAUUAAAUACCUUAAAUUGACAAUAUAAUUUGGUUAAGUUCAUUCGAUAGUUGGUUUAAGGAUUCAUCACUCUUUGAACAAACCAAAUCUUGAUUUUGGACAGAGGAUUGUUUAAAAUUAAGUACAGAAGUCCAGAAAUUCAAUAAUGUGGGGACUGAAAAAGAAAAAUAGAAGCUUUAUAUCAUUUACAACUGAUAAUAGUAUGCUAAUUGUUCUAUCCCUUUAAUAGCAUGUUUUGAAGUUUUAGUGAGCCUGGUAAUAGACUAUUGAUUUUGAUAGCAGUUAAAUGAUAUUUUAGAUGUUGGCGACUGCUGUUUCUCUUGCUCCUGGGGUGGCUGGCAUUGGGCUACUGGUUACUGCCUUUGUCAGGCUUGGAGGCUUACUUGGUAGGUUGUUAGGCAGUUAGGAUAAUAAUAGCUACUGCCUUGUUACUGUUAUAUGGUGGGUAUCCUGCAGUGGGGAAGCUUUAAUGCUAUAUACUUCAAUUCCUUAAUGUUUUAUACUUCAAUAAUUCAAUAUGGUGGGUUUGUUAUUGCUGAUUGCAUAAGCACCACGCUGCUGUAACAUUGCUGGUCUGGGUUGCUAUUAUGCAGUCAGUAUGAGGCUGGCUAUUGGUCAUGUUGCUGUGUGGGGUGGCUGCUCGGGGUUUGCUGCAGCGUUACUUCUAUUGUUAUGCUCAGGGACAUGCAGUCUGUUGUUAUGCUAAUUUCAGUUAUGGGUUGUGGGCUAGGUUGGAGGGGCUGGUGUGGGCAUUCUCCUUUCUGUUGCUGCGCAUGGGGUGGUGGACUGCAUGUCCUCUGUUUUGGUGCUGCUUUGGUGCGAGAUUUUUUUGGCUGGUUUGUUAUGGUUGUUUUUGGUUUUCACUUGCUUAUGGGAUCGCUUUAUUCCGUGCUUUGAUGCUGCUAGUUUUUUUAUGUUUCAAUUCUUAUUACAGUAUUGUAACUUCUUGUUGGGCUUGAGGCCUUGUAAUCUUUUAUAGUCAUGACAUCAUGGGGCUUGUCCUAUGAUGUCUAUGCUAUAUCUUGAUUGAGGUUCUCUUAUGAGAUUGUAAUCUUUUCUCUUUUAAUACAAUCUAAAUUUAGCAAAAAAAAAAAUCUUCUUUGUAGUUGAAGUAACAACUUCUGAAGUUGUUAAAUGUUUGAUAAUAUUAUCAAUCAUACCUCACCUUACAAUGUUAUUAGAGUAAGCAUAUUGUAACUCUUAACUUGUGUCUAAACAUUUACUAUUUUCAUUAACU
Molecule: long non-coding RNA, 4819 nt
Filed under: Panax ginseng (ginseng)
Lineage: Eukaryota; Viridiplantae; Streptophyta; Magnoliopsida; Apiales; Araliaceae
Description: long non-coding RNA (PGIN_LNC006281)
Source: RNAcentral